CAUUAGGUGGCUGAAAAUCAAGCAAUGGUCUCUUAAACCAAAAUAUAGUAUAUCAUACUCCUAAUGA
This 67-nucleotide transfer RNA is filed under the name Trachytettix bufo. Its description in RNAcentral is "tRNA-Lys". The record is from RNAcentral. Lineage: Eukaryota; Metazoa; Arthropoda; Insecta; Orthoptera; Tetrigidae.